This 83-nucleotide transfer RNA is filed under the name Spirochaetes bacterium GWB1_36_13. Its description in RNAcentral is "tRNA-Leu". It matches the Rfam family "tRNA". Rfam says of the family: Transfer RNA (tRNA) molecules are approximately 80 nucleotides in length. Their secondary structure includes four short double-helical elements and three loops (D, anti-codon, and T loops). Further hydrogen bonds mediate the characteristic L-shaped molecular structure. tRNAs have two regions of fundamental functional importance: the anti-codon, which is responsible for specific mRNA codon recognition, and the 3' end, to which the tRNAs corresponding amino acid is attached (by aminoacyl-tRNA synthetases). tRNAs cope with the degeneracy of the genetic code in two manners: having more than one tRNA (with a specific anti-codon) for a particular amino acid; and 'wobble' base-pairing, i.e. permitting non-standard base-pairing at the 3rd anti-codon position. Lineage: Bacteria; Pseudomonadati; Spirochaetota. The record is from RNAcentral. RNAcentral also lists the same sequence under 1 other name.
GCCCAGGUGGUGGAACUGGUAGACACGCUACCUUGAGGUGGUAGUGGGCUUCGCCUGUGCGGGUUCAAAUCCCGCCUUGGGUA